Molecule: long non-coding RNA, 2100 nt
Organism: Micropterus salmoides (largemouth bass)
Lineage: Eukaryota; Metazoa; Chordata; Actinopteri; Centrarchiformes; Centrarchidae
Exons: 2
Source: RefSeq, a predicted model, not a curated record
AGGAUUGAGAAACGACAAAUAAGAGACUUGAGAAGCACCCAGUGUCAGUGUGUACAACUUCGAUGAGAGGAUGAAGCGGAACUAUCCUUGUCACGAAGAGAGAUUCUCCAGGUACUGCCCUUCCAUCUCCUGCCUCACAGCUGCAACUAGUGAUUAGCAGCAGCUGCCCCUGAUUCCCCGAUCAACCUGGAGGAUAAGAGAACAAGGAGCAAGCAACAACGAGGCAAUGUGGCUGGUCUUGAGAGGCCAGCCUGUGUGGCUGCUCACCAGUGAGUCAGAUGGCAGUGAUUAGAUGCAGCAGGAGUGGAGCUGUGUGCUUGACUGCAGCAGAGGGGAGCUGUGAGAGCUGUGAGCUCACAUACCCUCUCAGAGCGGUGUUAAGUGUUUUUAUUUAAGUUGUGUGUCCUGUUUUUAUUUAAAAACAUAUCAUCUCUUUUAGUUAAAUAGUUCUUUGUGAAGAUUUUGUGUUUCUGUGCUUCUCUUCUGUUCCUGUUUGAGGUUUGUUUGUUAAUAAAUAUCUUAUGCAGUAGAUAAAGAGUAGCUUAUCAGAGCACAGAUAGCUGAUUGUAGUUUAACGUCUUGUUUUUCUCUUGCAGAGAACCCAACAUUUGAAAAGUCUGUUUUGUGCUUAUGCGGCACUGGUCUCCGAGCUCUGGUAUUACGCAUGAGUCAGUGUCCCAAAUUGUAGUGCCACAGCCAUUCCGAGUUUAGCGCUUGGUCAUAGCAUGUCCAGCCACUUAGGAAUAAGGAACGACUGUGUGCUUCGUUAAUGGACUUAAUCAGAUGUUGUGAAAUUCUUUCGAUCGCGCCAUAUCUGUCAAGUCUCAGCAAAACCAAAUCAGGUGAUUCCUCCUGUUCUGUCAAAGCCCAUUCCUGUCGUUGAAGAACCAUUUGAGCAUGUUAUUGUUGACUGUGUUGGUCCUUUACCUAAAACAAAAUCCGGUAACCAGUACAUCCUCACCAUUAUGUGUUCUGCCACUCGUUAUCCUGAAGCCAUUCUGUUGCGCUCAUUAAAAGCCUGUGUCAUAGUGAAAGCGCUCCACUUUUGGUCUCCCUAUACGCAUCCAAAGUGACCGGGGAUUGAACUUCAUGUUCAAAAUCUUAUUGUUAAAUGUGACACACCAUACCUCCAGCGGUUACAAUCCAGAAAGUCAGGGCGCAUUAGAAAGAUUUCACCAGACUCUAGAAAAGGCUACUGGCAGGUCCCACUUACUCAACACGCCUCUGAAAUAAGUGCCUUCGUCACUCCCGAUCAUUUUCUCCAGUAUACAGUCAUGCCAUUUAAUGUUUUAUUCUAAUAAUUGAAAUGACUGUCCCCUUGGUUAAAUUAAUUUAUGUUGUGAUAUGUCCUAGUGGUUUUUAUUCACUGUAGAAAUUCAGAAUGUAAUACUGAAAGGAUUUGCUGAUACUGGCCAAUACACACAGCAAUGUAAGUAAUUGGUACUGGCAAUAAUUAUAUUCCACUUCAAGCACUGGCCUAAGGUCAGUACUUAACAGUGUCCUUUCAAUAUUCUUCAUACUGUUGGAGUGAGAUCACUGUCAUAAUUUUAAUGACUGUACAAUCUUUUUUAGAUUUAGAAAUGUUUGAAAUGUGGUAGGUGCAGACAACAACUCGUAGCGUUGUCUACACAAUCAAAUACUAAGCAUGCAACGAAUUGAGGUGUUUUGUAUCUAAAUAUGCCUGAAUGUUGCAUUAUUUGCCAAAAUCACAAAUUUCAAAAGAACAAAAAAUCGACUAAUAACAAAACAAUGUUAUUCUUGCACAAUGCUAUAAUAUGAUAUCUUUCUACAUAUAUUUGCUUACCAUUGGCCAAGCAAAUUAUCCAUCAUGGAAUGUACCUGUAAUUAACUGAUGGAAGAUUUAUAACAAAUGUGAUGUCUCAAUUAGUGUGGAUGGGAUGCACCUCUGCAUUGCAUAUCCAAUUAGUAAUUCAGGCUGAUACAACGUGCGUAUAAAGAGUAUGUUGAGAGUAGAUUUUAGUUUGCUAAGCCUUGCACAUCUGCUUGCAUGGCAGCAGGACUGUUUCAUAGCCAUUUCAAAUAUCAAUCAUUUACCAUUACUGCAGUCAGCCUCCCAUAUUUACCAGAUUGCUCUGCAGU